GGAUCACGCCGCGUGAGGGAUGAAGGCCUCUGGGCUGUAAACCUCUUUUCUCAAGGAAGAAGAACUGACGGUACUUGAGGAAUAAGCCACGGCUAAUUCCGUGCCAGCAGCCGCGGUAAUACGGGAGUGGCAAGCGUUAUCCGGAAUUAUUGGGCGUAAAGCGUCCGCAGGCGGCCUCGUAAGUCUGUCGUUAAAGCGUGGAGCUUAACUCCAUUUCAGCGACGGAAACUGUGAGGCUUGAGUGUGGUAGGGGCAGAGGGAAUUCCCGGUGUAGCGGUGAAAUGCGUAGAUAUCGGGAAGAACACCAGUGGCGAAGGCGCUCUGCUGGGCCAUAACUGACGCUCAUGGACGAAAGCCAGGGGAGCGAAAGGGAUUAGAUACCCCUGUAGUCCUGGCCGUAAACGAUGAACACUAGGUGUCGGGGGAAUCGACCCCCUCGGUGUCGUAGCCAACGCGUUAAGUGUUCCGCCUGGGGAGUACGCACGCAAGUGUGAAACUCAAAGGAAUUGACGGGGGCCCGCACAAGCGGUGGAGUAUGUGGUUUAAUUCGAUGCAACGCGAAGAACCUUACCAGGGUUUGACAUCCUGCG
This 590-nucleotide ribosomal RNA is filed under the name uncultured bacterium. RNAcentral describes it as "bacterial SSU rRNA". It matches the Rfam family "Bacterial small subunit ribosomal RNA", at positions 389 to 993 of the family's 1533-position model. The record is from RNAcentral.